CGAACCUCGCUGUCAGGUAUACAUCGCUUUGCCAUACACCUUGACCUGAUUAAUUCCAACUUGUGGACAAGGUUAAAAGGUAAUCCUUGUGGAUACCUACACGAGGAAAAUGCCCUGAAAUCAGGACAAAUACUCCCAUAUGCGGUAAGUAUCCAAGUUCCUGAUGACAUAACCAUUCCACAGGGGACAAGUAACUUUCUUUUACCCCUACAGGUCAAGAAGGG
Molecule: non-coding RNA, 224 nt
Organism: Pelobates cultripes (western spadefoot toad)
Lineage: Eukaryota; Metazoa; Chordata; Amphibia; Anura; Pelobatidae
Source: the annotation of a GenBank genome assembly